CAUGGCUCAGAAUGAACGCUGGCGGCAUGCCUAACACAUGCAAGUCGAACGAAGGCUUCGGCCUUAGUGGCGCACGGGUGCGUAACGCGUGGGAAUCUGCCCCUCGGUUCGGAAUAACAGUUAGAAAUGACUGCUAAUACCGGAUGAUGACGUAAGUCCAAAGAUUUAUCGCCGAGGGAUGAGCCCGCGUAGGAUUAGCUAGUUGGUGUGGUAAGAGCGCACCAAGGCGACGAUCCUUAGCUGGUCUGAGAGGAUGAUCAGCCACACUGGGACUGAGACACGGCCCAGACUCCUACGGGAGGCAGCAGUGGGGAAUAUUGGACAAUGGGCGAAAGCCUGAUCCAGCAAUGCCGCGUGAGUGAUGAAGGCCUUAGGGUUGUAAAGCUCUUUUACCCGGGAUGAUAAUGAC
This 409-nucleotide ribosomal RNA is filed under the name Sphingomonas mucosissima. Its description in RNAcentral is "bacterial SSU rRNA". It matches the Rfam family "Bacterial small subunit ribosomal RNA", at positions 18 to 455 of the family's 1533-position model. The record is from RNAcentral. Lineage: Bacteria; Pseudomonadati; Pseudomonadota; Alphaproteobacteria; Sphingomonadales; Sphingomonadaceae.